CUACGGGUGGCACCAGUCGAGAAGCUUCGGCAAUGGACGAAAGUCUGACCGAGCGACGCCGCGUGAGUGAAGAAGGUCUUCGGAUCGUAAAACUCUGUCAGGGGGGAAGAAACACGGAUUGGCUAAUACCCUUUCCGCUUGACGGUACCCCCAGAGGAAGCUCCGGCUAACUCCGUGCCAGCAGCCGCGGUAAUACGGAGGGAGCAAACGUUGUUCGGAAUCACUGGGCGUAAAGGGCUCGUAGGCGGCUUCCUAAGUCAGUGGUGAAAACCUGUGGCUCAACCACAGGCCUGCCCCUGAAACUGGGAAGCUUGAGGCUGUGAGGGGAGAGGGGAAUUCCUGGUGUAUCGGUGAAAUGAGUUGAUAUCAGGAGGAACACCCGUGGCGAAGGCGCCUCUCUGGCACAGUACUGACGCUGAGGAGCGAAAGCGUGGGGAGCAAACAGGAUUAGAUACCCUCGUAGUC
This 465-nucleotide ribosomal RNA is filed under the name uncultured bacterium. Its description in RNAcentral is "partial 16S ribosomal RNA". It matches the Rfam family "Bacterial small subunit ribosomal RNA", at positions 339 to 795 of the family's 1533-position model. The record is from RNAcentral.